UAUAUUGGGAAUGGCGAUCAGGUCCGCCAAUCCCAUAACAAACUUGUGCUUAGGCGGGCGAUUGUAUUCCCGGCGCGCUGGCUGCGGGCGUCCCUGGCCCCUCCCCUUGUUUCUCCUAUCAUAAGGAUGGCGAGUCCUCUGGUCCUUCCUGGCCGCCGCCGCUGUCUCCAGCACCCUCUGCGGCUGGAUCCUGGUCUGGGCGCGUGGCCUAGCGGGAGCCACGCUUCCUCUCUUCUCGGCGACUUCACUCUCGUCGGCGAUGUGAGCCACCGCAAGUCACCUGACUUCAGCAAACGUCGCAGGGUGAGC
RNAcentral lists this long non-coding RNA (309 nucleotides) under Phaseolus vulgaris (common bean). Its description in RNAcentral is "long non-coding RNA (PVUL_LNC004424)". The record is from RNAcentral. Lineage: Eukaryota; Viridiplantae; Streptophyta; Magnoliopsida; Fabales; Fabaceae.